UGACACCGGCAUCGCGAAAGCUGUUCGGAGCUUCGCCAAAUCAUUGGAACGAUUGCGUUUGCGAUUGUGGAUGACGCCCACAAUCACGUGUGAUUUUACCCGGUUUCCUUGACCCUGGAGCCAAGCGCGGGCUAAUCGCCGAUCUAUGGCCGUGCGCGCAUUCAUUACCGGCGUUUCCGGGACCGCUCUGACCGACGAUGAGCGCGC
Molecule: unclassified non-coding RNA, 207 nt
Filed under: Hevea brasiliensis (rubber tree)
Lineage: Eukaryota; Viridiplantae; Streptophyta; Magnoliopsida; Malpighiales; Euphorbiaceae
Source: RNAcentral